UACGUAGGGGGCAAGCGUUGUCCGGAUUUACUGGGCGUAAAGCGCGUGCAGGCGGCCUUGCAAGUCGGACGUGAAAUCCCACGGCUCAACCGUGGAAGUGCAUUCGAAACUGCGAGGCUGGAGUCCUGGAGAGGAAAGUGGAAUACUCGGUGUAGAGGUGAAAUUCGUAGAUAUCGAGUGGAACACCGGUGGCGAAGGCGGCUUUCUGGACAGGUACUGACGCUGAGACGCGAAAGCGUGGGGAGCAAACAGG
Molecule: ribosomal RNA, 253 nt
Filed under: uncultured bacterium
Lineage: Bacteria
Description: partial 16S ribosomal RNA
Rfam family: Bacterial small subunit ribosomal RNA
Source: RNAcentral